RNAcentral lists this ribosomal RNA (230 nucleotides) under uncultured bacterium. RNAcentral describes it as "partial 16S ribosomal RNA". It matches the Rfam family "Bacterial small subunit ribosomal RNA", at positions 563 to 791 of the family's 1533-position model. The record is from RNAcentral.
AAGGGAGCGUAGGCGGCUGAUUAAGUCAGCGGUGAAAGGUAGCAGCUUAACUGUUUUACAUGCCGUUGAUACUGGUUAGCUUGAGUUGACAGAAGGCAGAUAGAAUUCCUGGUGUAGCGGUGAAAUGCUUAGAUACCAGGAGGAAUACCGAUUGCGAAGGCAGUCUGCUGCAGUCACACUGACGCUGAGGCUCGAAGGUGCGGGGAUCAAACAGGAUUAGAUACCCCGGU